RNAcentral lists this long non-coding RNA (448 nucleotides) under Bos taurus (domestic cattle). RNAcentral's name for it is "long non-coding RNA NONBTAT005686". Lineage: Eukaryota; Metazoa; Chordata; Mammalia; Artiodactyla; Bovidae. The record is from RNAcentral.
GCUCUUUUUAACAUUCUGCAGAAUCUGAAAGUGAUUAAAAGAGAAAUUACGUCUGAGAAAGGAGCGGCUUCAAGUGUUAUUUAAAAGUGGGCAGGGAUGAACCUUCCAACAGCCAAGCCAGCUUAAGCAGCAACCCAGCUCUGGGCUUGUCAUCCUUGGGCUCAGAUACCAACUUAAAUUCAUCUCUGAGAGUUCUAAACUAAGCCAGAGGGCUCUAAACUAAGCCUGAGAAGACCAACUUGGCAGUCAUGGUGUGGAUGAGCCUGGAAACUUAAUUCUCCACCAUCGGGGGUCUUCAUUUGGUUUCUGCAACACACCUAACACCUCCUCUCGCCAACCCAAUUGGCAAGAAUCAGUUUAAUCUUGUUGGUGACCAAAAUAUACCUUAAAAUGUAAAAUGUAUGCCUUAAUCUGAUUGCCUCUUUCAUAUCAGUCUUCUUUUUUUUUU